Molecule: unclassified non-coding RNA, 349 nt
Filed under: soil metagenome
Description: partial contains 5.8S ribosomal RNA, internal transcribed spacer 2, and large subunit ribosomal RNA
Rfam family: 5.8S ribosomal RNA (bases 1-120)
Source: RNAcentral
GAUGAAGAACGCAGCGAAAUGCGAUAAGUAAUGUGAAUUGCAGAAUUCAGUGAAUCAUCGAAUCUUUGAACGCACAUUGCGCCCGCCAGUAUUCUGGCGGGCAUGCCUGUCCGAGCGUCAUUUCAACCCUCGAACCCCUCCGGGGGGUCGGCGUUGGGUAUCGGCCCCUCACCGGGCCGCCCCCGAAAUCCAGUGGCGGUCUCGCCGCAGCCUCUCCUGCGCAGUAGUUUGCACACUCGCACCGGGAGCGCGGCGCGGCCACAGCCGUAAAACACCCCAAACUCUGAAAUGUUGACCUCGGAUCAGGUAGGAAUACCCGCUGAACUUAAGCAUAUCAAUAAGCGGAGGA